GGAUAUGGCAUAAAAACUGGCCUCAAGCGGCGUUUUUCAUAUUUCUCGCGGGACUUUUAAUCCCAAGGUCGUUGGUUCGAUUCCAACCCGGCCCA
Molecule: transfer RNA, 95 nt
Filed under: Actinomycetota bacterium
Lineage: Bacteria; Bacillati; Actinomycetota
Description: Actinobacteria bacterium tRNA-Lys
Source: RNAcentral